Molecule: ribosomal RNA, 378 nt
Filed under: [Candida] sp. EN7M01
Lineage: Eukaryota; Fungi; Ascomycota; Saccharomycetes; Saccharomycetales
Description: eukaryotic LSU rRNA
Rfam family: 5.8S ribosomal RNA (bases 65-217)
Source: RNAcentral
AUCUUUGGCAGCUUGCUGUCGAAGGAAAACACACAAAUAAUUUAUCUACCAACGAAAUAAUCAAAACUUUCAACAACGGAUCUCUUGGUUCUCGCAUCGAUGAAGAACGCAGCGAAAUGCGAUAAGUAAUAUGAAUUGCAGCCUUUGUGAAUCAUCGAAUCUUUGAACGCACAUUGCGCCUUGAGGUAUUCCUCAAGGCAUGCCUGUUUGAGCGUCAGCCUCCCUCAAACCUUUGGUUUGGCCGUGAGUGCACCAACGUACGCUCGAAAUAUAGUCGCAUCAUGUCUAGGAUUACCCAUCAUGAUGAUGAACCCAUAUUUUCGACCUCAAAUCAGGUAGGACUACCCGCUGAACUUAAGCAUAUCAAUAAGCGGAGGA